This 1157-nucleotide ribosomal RNA is filed under the name uncultured bacterium. RNAcentral's name for it is "bacterial SSU rRNA". It matches the Rfam family "Bacterial small subunit ribosomal RNA", at positions 202 to 1387 of the family's 1533-position model. The record is from RNAcentral.
AAAAGCCCAGGCGGAGGGGGAUGGCCUCGCGGCCCAUUAGGCAGUCGGCGGGGUAACGGCCCACCGAGCCGGCGAUGGGUAGCCGGGUUGAGAGACCGACCGGCCACAUUGGGACUGAGACACGGCCCAGACUCCUACGGGAGGCAGCAGUGGGGAAUUUUGCGCAAUGGGGGAAACCCUGACGCAGCAACGCCGCGUGCGGGACGAAGGCCCUCGGGUUGUAAACCGCUUUCAGCAGGGGAGAAACUGACGGUACCUGCAGAAGAAGCUCCGGCUAACUACGUGCCAGCAGCCGCGGUAAUACGUAGGGAGCGAGCGUUAUCCGGAUUCAUUGGGCGUAAAGCGCGCGUAGGCGGCCGGCUAAGUCGGGAGUCAAAGCCCGGGGCUCAACCCCGGCCCGCUCCCGAAACUGGCCGGCUUGAGUCUGGCAGGGGAAGGCGGAAUUCCCAGUGUAGCGGUGAAACGCGCAGAUAUUGGGAAGAACACCGGUGGCGAAGGCGGCCUUCUGGGCCACGACUGACGCUGAGGCGCGAAAGCUGGGGGAGCGAACAGGAUUAGAUACCCUGGUAGUCCCAGCCGUAAAUGAUGAUCACUAGGUGGGGGGGACACUGAGCUUCCGUGCCGAAGCCAACGCAUUAAGUGAUCCGCCUGGGGAGUGCGGCCGCAAGGCUAAAACUCAAAGGAAUUGACGGGGACCCGCACAAGCAGCGGAGCAUGUGGCUUAAUUAGAAGCAACGCGAAGAACCUUACCUGGCCUUGACAUGCAGGUGAAGCGGCGGAAACGCCGUGGCCGGAAGGAGCCUGCGCAGGUGGUGCAUGGCUGUCGUCAGCUCGUGUCGUGAGAUGUUAGGUUAAGUCCUGCAACGAGCGCAACCCCCGUCGCAUGUUGCCAGCAUCAAGUUGGGGAGUCAUGCGAGACUGCCGGCGUCAAGCCGGAGGAAGGUGGGGAGGACGUCAAGUCAUCAUGCCCCUUAUGGCCAGGGCCGCACACGUGCUACAUUGGCCGGUACAGAGGGCUGCGAACCCGCGAGGGCGAGCGAAUCCCGGAAAGCCGGCCCCAGUUCGGAUCGCAGGCUGCAACCCGCCUGCGUGAAGCCGGAGUUGCUAGUAAUCGCGGAUCAGCACGCCGCGGUGAAUAAAAUCCCGGGUCUUGUACU